RNAcentral lists this unclassified non-coding RNA (345 nucleotides) under soil metagenome. RNAcentral's name for it is "partial contains 5.8S ribosomal RNA, internal transcribed spacer 2, and large subunit ribosomal RNA". The stretch from base 1 to 120 matches the Rfam family "5.8S ribosomal RNA", at positions 35 to 154 of the family's 154-position model. The record is from RNAcentral.
GAUGAAGAACGUAGCGAAAUGCGAUAAGUAAUGUGAAUUGCAGAACUCAGUGAAUCAUCGAAUCUUUGAACGCACAUUGCGCCCCCUGGUAUUCCGGGGGGCAUGCCUGUCCGAGCGUCAUUGCUGCCCUCAAGCACGGCUUGUGUGUUGGGCCUCCGUCCUCCUCCCGGGGGACGGGCCCGAAAGGCAGCGGCGGCACCGCGUCCGGUCCUCGAGCGUAUGGGGCUUCGUCACCCGCUCUUGUAGGCCCGGCCGGCGCUUGCCGACACAUCAAUCUUUUUUCCAGGUUGACCUCGGAUCAGGUAGGGAUACCCGCUGAACUUAAGCAUAUCAAUAAGCGGAGGA